This 301-nucleotide ribosomal RNA is filed under the name uncultured bacterium. RNAcentral describes it as "partial 16S ribosomal RNA". It matches the Rfam family "Bacterial small subunit ribosomal RNA", at positions 509 to 806 of the family's 1533-position model. The record is from RNAcentral.
CAGUCGCCGCGGGAAUACGAAGGGUGCAAGCGUUAAUCGGAAUUACUGGGCGUAAAGCGUGCGUAGGCGGUGGUGGUUUAAGUCCGUUGUGAAAGCCCUGGGCUCAACCUGGGAAUUGCAGUGGAUACUGGGUCACUAGAGUGUGGUAGAGGAUAGUGGAAUUUCCGGUGUAGCAGUGAAAUGCGUAGAGAUCGGAAGGAACAUCUGUGGCGAAGGCGACUAUCUGGGCCAACACUGACACUGAGGCACGAAAGCGUGGGGAGCAAACAGGAUUAGAUACCCCCGUAGUCCCUGUCUCUUA